UCCUUUCCGAUCUCACCACACCCAAGUAGUAACAGGAAAGAAACCUGAACACUCAGCUGUUCUCGCUGUUCCAUGCCCAACACUACCUUUAGUUCUCCGUUGUAUUUCGGGUUUACUGAAGGCAUUUAAAUGACCAAGGCGAGCGCGUGUAACAACUGGGUCCCUUCACGGACGACGGCGGGAGAUUAAUGGAGAGUCCAGAGAAACAUCAGAGCUGUGUCUGGACAGAAGAAUGUCACUCUUCAAUGCCGAGCUCCAAACAACGGACAUCCUCACACGACCGUAGAGUGGAGCAGACCUGACCUUGGGGAUCAAUAUGUGCUUUUGUACCGGGACGGGCACUUUAACUCACACAACCAGCAUCCAUCAUUUGUGAACCGGGUGGAUCUGCAGGACAGACAGAUGAAGGAUGGAGACGUCUCUCUGAUUCUGAAGAAUGUGACAAUUAAUGAUGCUGGAACAUACGAGUGUCGUGUCAAGACAGAAACACACUGCAGAAAGAGAGCUAAUCUCAGUGUUGACCCCAUCAUCAUCAUCAGCCUGAGUGUUGAUCCUUCAGGUCAGACAGGAGGAGACACAGAGGAUGGAGGGAAGGAGGGUGGAGUCACUAGAGGACGUUCUGGUCUGUCAGUUUUUGCUGUGAUUUGUGUUCUUAUAGCUGCUUUUGUGAUCUCUGGAAAAUUGAAGAACAUAAAUUCCCCACUUCCUCCUCCUGAACAACAGCAAGUCUAAAAAAAGAAGAAGCUCUUCACUUUUUUUAUUUCUUUGUCUUCAGACAAACCAGUUUACUGUAACAGUACAGACAUGUUUUGGCAUUCCUUCAGAAUCAGCUAUAAAUAUGAGUAAAACAAAGCGAUUCAUUAUUGCUACAUACGUGGCCCUUAUACAGGACAUCAGUCUUAGUCAUCUGUCUCUGAAAUUUGCUCUGACUAAAUGAAGAUGUGAAUUCUGUCAGAUUCUAUUACUGUGUAAUCUCAGAGUUUAAACUGUGGUCCAGAAGUGUCUGAUGUGGUUGUGGAGCACUCUGAUGAUCAUGUUACAUCAUUUAUUUAUUUAUGUAUUUAUUUAUUUAUUUUUCUUUCUUUGCUGUUGUCAAGUGUUUAAUGUUAAAGGUGAAAUUAUUCUUCCUCUGCUGCACCUAUCUCCUGCGGUGUGCCUCAAGGAUCUGUCCUUGGUCCCCUGCUCUUCUCACUGUAUAUGCUUCCCUUAGGCACAAUCUUUGAGAAGUACAACAUUGCACAUCAUUGUUAUGCUGAUGACAUACAGAUCUAUUUUGAAUUAACUGAUGAUCGUUCCAUGUCUUUGCACUGUUUUCAUAAGUGUAUGCGUGAGGUCAAAGAUUGGCUCUCUGGUAACUCCCUUAGCUUAAAUGUCAGGAAAACCGAAAUCAUCGUGUUUGACAGUAAUAUUCCUUGCAGCCAGUAAUAUCCCAAGCAUUGGCUUCCCGUUAAGUACCGUAUUUAUUUCAAAAUUUCAUCUCCGAGGAAGUUAUCCCAGAGAGAAGUAAAGCAAGUGUGUAAGUUCAUCUCUGAAUGUUUGUAAAGCGU
Oreochromis niloticus (Nile tilapia) is the source of this 1547-nucleotide long non-coding RNA. RefSeq lists it as uncharacterized. Lineage: Eukaryota; Metazoa; Chordata; Actinopteri; Cichliformes; Cichlidae. The record is from RefSeq and is a predicted model, not a curated record. The transcript is spliced from 3 exons.